Molecule: ribosomal RNA, 418 nt
Filed under: uncultured bacterium
Lineage: Bacteria
Description: bacterial SSU rRNA
Rfam family: Bacterial small subunit ribosomal RNA
Source: RNAcentral
AGCGAACGCUGGCGGCAGGCUUAACACAUGCAAGUCGAGCGCCCGUAGCAAUACGGGAGCGGCAGACGGGAGAGUAACACGUGGGAACAUGCCCUUCGGUUCGGAAUAACUCAGGGAAACUUGAGCUAAUACCGGAUACGUCCGUAAGGAGAAAGAUUUAUCGCCGAAGGAUUGGCCCGCGUCCGAUUAGCUUGUUGGUGAGGUAAUGGCUCACCAAGGCGACGAUCGGUAGCNGGUCUGAGAGGAUGAUCAGCCUCACUGGGACUGAGACACGGCCCAGACUCCUACGGGAGGCAGCAGUGGGGAAUAUUGGACAAUGGGCGGAAAGCCUGAUCCAGCCAUGCCGCGUGGGUGAUGAAGGCCUUAGGGUUGUAAAGCCCUUUCGGCGGGGAAGAUAAUGACGGUACCCGCAGAAGAA